This 60-nucleotide transfer RNA is filed under the name Candidatus Woesearchaeota archaeon. RNAcentral's name for it is "tRNA-OTHER". It matches the Rfam family "tRNA". From Rfam's summary of the family: Transfer RNA (tRNA) molecules are approximately 80 nucleotides in length. Lineage: Archaea; Nanobdellati; Candidatus Woesearchaeota. The record is from RNAcentral.
GCGGACGUGCCGGAGCGGUCAAACGGGANNCCUACGCAGGUUCGAAUCCUGCCGUCCGCA